CUUCUAGACAGCCUCUGCAGCA
RNAcentral lists this microRNA (22 nucleotides) under Mus musculus (house mouse). RNAcentral's name for it is "mmu-miR-7225-3p". Lineage: Eukaryota; Metazoa; Chordata; Mammalia; Rodentia; Muridae. The record is from miRBase by way of RNAcentral.